RNAcentral lists this long non-coding RNA (1323 nucleotides) under Aquila chrysaetos chrysaetos. Its description in RNAcentral is "lncRNA (ENSACCG00020012591.1)". The record is from RNAcentral. Lineage: Eukaryota; Metazoa; Chordata; Aves; Accipitriformes; Accipitridae.
UAACACAGGCAUAAUUAUUUCAUACUCUUGGAAAUGUUUUGCAUGAUGACCUUCAUAAAAAAAGGAAGUUGUAUAGCUCUUGGAGAGUUUACAUUCUCGCUUUUUCUUUUUUCAGUAUUUUAGAAUAUAAGAAUAGUGCAUGAGCCCUUAAUGUGGAAGCAGGAAAAAAGGGAGAGAAGCCAAUAAUUCUUCCAACACCGUGUAUUUUCUACAACUGUAAGAGGAAGAAAUUCAGAACUCUCAAACCUGUUUCACAAACAUAUGCACCUUCAAAGGAUUCUGCAGCUUACACAGGAAAUUAAGUAUCAUCAAUGUGUUUCAAGAGAUGCUUCUUUCUAAACUACUUACCUUUUUUACUGUUAAGCCCAGUAACUACUGAAGCUUUACAAGAGGGGGAAGUGAUGAUCACACGUCUGAAGAGAACACCUAAGUGUCACAUUUUCUGGAUGUUGAUGUUUUACACCCAUUGCCCAUAGUUUACAGCGUACCAGAGAACGUUUCUAGCCCGCUGCCAAGAAGCACAGCUAGCUGGGAUUCUUCAAGGUACCAGCUCCGCACCUCUGCCCAGACACAGCCAUCAGAAAAUGGCUACUCCUUUAAAUUCUGUGUAAGGAGAGAUCCCUCCCCUCCCUUCUUCAGGCGAAGUCUCCUUCUUCUCUGAAGCAAUUAAAACACAGACUAAGGAAUGGGCUCCAGAAGCCCCAAAUAUUACAUUGUACUUAAAUGAAGAAUUAAUCUUAAUGCUGUUAGCAUCACAUAUCAGCUUAAGAGCACGCUAUUUCAUUGACACAACUAUCUGAAGAAAAACUAAUGCAUACCAGAUUAUUCCAUGUAAUAUCCUGUAAUCCUGUAAUGCAUGAUAGUUUUAAAACAAACUUGUGUAAGGAAGUAGUAGAGGUCACUAUUCUCCCUUAAAACCUUUCAUGCUUUUGGCGAGAGUUUACGUGUAACUUGGAAAACAACAGUAAGACCUUCUGUUUGCGUGGAUAGAGCUUUUACUCUGUGCAUUUUCACAGCAAUUGGUACUAGUCUUAACAGCAAGAUGGUUUCUGAAGGAAUUAAGCACCUCUUUAUAUUUGGCCGUAUUCUCACACUAAGGUUUAUGUAUGGGUUUUUUAGGGGGGAGGGAGGGCAGGCUGUGUUUCAGAAGCAGCGUGCGUGUUAGCAAAACUGCAGGAACUUCAGUCUGAAGCUCCCUCUGCUUCACAUCUUUUCCCCAAUAAGCCCCCUGCUUCUAGCUCCGAUUCCGUACCAGCUCUCCCAAGAGGCAGAUUAUCUGAAGACUUAUUUUCAAGUAUGGGGAAUUUUAUAAAGAAGCAAAUU